This 505-nucleotide ribosomal RNA is filed under the name uncultured bacterium. RNAcentral describes it as "partial 16S ribosomal RNA". It matches the Rfam family "Bacterial small subunit ribosomal RNA", at positions 28 to 507 of the family's 1533-position model. The record is from RNAcentral.
GACGAACGCUGGCGGCGUGCCUAAUACAUGCAAGUAGAACGCACAGUUUAUACCGUAGCUUGCUACACCAUAAACUGUGAGUUGCGAACGGGUGUGUAACGCGUAGGUAACCUGCCUGGUAGCGGGGGAUAACUACUGGAAACGAUAGCUAAUACCGCAUAAUAUUGAUUAUUGCAUGAUAAUUGAUUGAAAGAUGCUAUUGCAUCACUACCAGAUGGACCUGCGUUGUAUUAGCUAGUAGGUGAGGUAACGGCUCACCUAGGCGACGAUACAUAGCCGAACUGAGAGGGUGAUCGGCCACACUGGGAAUGAGACACGGCCCAGACUCCUACGGGAGGCAGCAGUAGGGAAUCUUCGGCAAUGGACGAAAGUCUGACCGAGCAAAGCCGCGUGAGUGAAGAAGGUUUUCGGAUCGUAAAGCUCUGUUGUAAGAGAAGAACGGGUGUGAGAGUGGAAAGUUCACACUGUGACGGUAUCUUACCAGAAAGGGACGGCUAACUACGUG